Podarcis lilfordi (Lilford's wall lizard) is the source of this 23807-nucleotide non-coding RNA. The record is from the annotation of a GenBank genome assembly. Lineage: Eukaryota; Metazoa; Chordata; Lepidosauria; Squamata; Lacertidae.
CAAAAAUGGUGGCAACCUCUGAUUUCCUUCAGGAGAAGUGGCAUGGUCUGGUGCGGCUUGCCAGAAGGCCGGCCCAGUAUGCACUGCAUCUCCUGACCCAAGGUUACUCCGGCCUGCAUGUCUCCUGAUGUGGCACAGACUGGACCUGCCUCUGCCACCGCCUUCCGGCACCGCAGACAAACUUCCGGAAGAGGAGGUCAAGGUAAGUUUUCCUUCCAUUUUUUGGUCCUGUUUCUGGACUCACACCACAGCAGAAGUAAAAAAAAUGCCCGUCUUUUGCUCCCUCGCUCUGGUGCAACCAGUGCGGGGGAGCAAAAUUGGGACACUUGGGAUUGGGAGGAAAAGCAGGGGCAUCUUCUGCCAAUUCGGGAUGUCCCAAAUAAUUCGGGACACUUGAGGGGUCUGACAGCGAAACCUUCAUUUUUGGCUCAAAUACCAACCAGGAUCUUCAUUUCCUGUCUCUGGAGAAGUGUGUGUGCCUUUUCAAACAGUUAAUCUCCAUGGUCAUCCCUCCACCCCCUGGGCUCACAAACGUGUCAGGAUGGUCCCCCUAAGUCACUUGCUAAUGAAAGCGUAAUAUACAACAAUGGGCUGCAUGAUCAGCCUAAGAAAGAAGCCUCCUGGGGGAUUCUCAAAAUGAAUACUGAAUCAGCGUCAAGUCAGAUUUUAAUCUUCCUUCAGACUUCUCAUAAAUUAACUAGAGACACUCUGUGCCACUGAUUCAAAUUCCAUUCUGGUACUUUACACAGCAGCUCCCCCUCCCCAGGAAGAGUUCUCCUUUUAACCGACAUGUGAAUCACAGUCCUUUUGCUGUUGGCUAAUGAAACAAUCUAUGGCCUUUGAAACUGGGGCGGGGGAGGGAGUUACUGUUUUUCGCUUGUUAUUAUGUUAUGCAUUCUUUUGUGGUCUUAUACUGUAACUUAACCUGUGAUCCUCGGAGGAUGGGUGGUAUAUAAAUUUCAGAAAUAAUAAUAUUAAUAAAUAAGAAGAAUUUUAGAAGUUCCAGAUGGUCAUGAGGCAAUCGGAUUCUCCCCUAGCCUCAAUACCAGGUAUUUGUUUUUCCAAUACUAGUUAUUUGUUUCUCUCUCUCUCUCUCUCUCUCACACACACACACACAUUUAUUUCAUGGAGAAUAGGGCUACCUACUGGUCACAAUGACCAGUAAUGCUACUGAAUGCUAGCUGCUGGAAACCGCCCAUGUGCAGAGCAUUGUUGCGCUCAUGCGCAGGGUCCCCAUCGGGGCAUCUGAUUGGCCACUGGGACAGAAGGAGUGGAUGAACCAUUGGCCUUACCCAGCAGGCUCAUCUUAUGUUUUUAUGUUCUUUAAGGGGGGAAAUCCUAAGCUGGGAAUCGCACCAAAAUGAGUCCUGAGCAUGUUCAAUGGCCAUGGAAUACUGACAGAGUGGGCAGGAGGCAGAGCCGGCCCUUGAGGCAUGGUGAGGCAGUUGCCCCAGGUGGCGGACUGGGGACUGCUAGGAGAGGUGGCAGAUCCAUGCCCCCGAGGUAUGUACCUGCCACAGAGUGAGCUGGCCAGUAAAUAUCUCAAUUGUUGGAGUUAACUUUUUAUUAGCAAAAACACACGUCUUCACAGACUUGGCUGAGUAUCAGGCCUAAAGAGCACAGAAGCUUGUUCCCUGUAGGUCUUACUCCAUGAAAUCAGUUGCUGAGACUACAUCUCCUCACUUCCCCACAGCCAUCUAUGUCUCCUUCUCUCCUGGUUCUGGGAGUCAGGAGGCAAAAGGAGCAUCUUUCAGCAGGAGGGGAAGGCACCCUUGUCUCUUCACCUCCCUCCUCUUGACCUCCUGCUUCAGCUUCAGCCUCUGCUUCUAGACUGCUCUCUGCCACAGCCUCUUCCUGCUCACUAAACCCUGUAAUCUCUUCAGCUUCUGACACCCCCUCCUCUCAGUCUUCUCUCUCUUUUCCCUCUGGCCACUCAUCGUCAUCCCACCACCAUUCUCUGGGCUCUGAGCCUUCCUCCUUUGGUGGUUCCCCAGCUGGUUCCUUCCACCAUUCCUCUGCAUCCAGCCAGUUCAUGACAGUACCACUCACCAUCUCCUGCCCUUACUGCUGACCCUGCCCCCCUUCCUCUUCCACAACCUCCCAUUCCUCUCCGGCCUCCUUCAGGGCACCAGGCUGCCUCCAGCUGUCUCAGGUAGUGGCAGGAGGGACAAAGGAGGAGGAAUGGGUGCCAUUUUCUCAUUUGCCUCAAGAGGCAGCCCAACUUGGGUGGGCCCUGGCAGAGGGCGAGGUGUAAAACAGAGAAUCCUGGAGGACAACACUGAGCAGGAACUUUCCAAACCACAAUAUUUUAUUGCAGCUCCUGCUUGUAAGAGGAUGCUAUUUAAGAUCUCCCCAAUUAUAAGUUUGCAUAGAGAAGCAGCACAUUAUCUGCUGCUAAUUCAAUUUUUAAUAAGCCUUUCCAAGGACAAAUCUUAGUGGCUCACAGAAGAGACUUUAUAAUUAAUAUAAUGUUCAGGGGUCCCCCCCCCCCGCUCUCUCUCUCCAUGGCAAUUAGCUAUUAUACAGGUCAGCGUUUUAAAAAGUGUUCGUCGCAGGAACCAGUUCACACUCAUUAAGUGGCAGAAAGAGCUUAAUCACAUCCAGUGCACAAGCCAAAACACACAGGCCAAAAUAUUCAGCGUAAAUUGUUGCACAGAAAAUAUUGCUUUAAGUGAAAUCUGGGUUCUCAUCUUCUAUGAAAAUAUUUAGGAACACAAAAGAGAAAGAGAAUGGCUGGUGAACCAGAGAUGUUUGUGGGUGCAGUAGAGAUACAUCCCAGUGAAAUUCUAGCAAUCUGAAACAGAAAAAAAAGCUCAAAUGGUUGUAUCCAAUUAAGGUGAGUAGAUCCACCAAAAUUUGCACCAGUCAAACCCAUUGCCUGCAAUGGAUCUACACUGAGUAGGGCUACCCUUGGCUAUAACACCUUAUAUGUAGGCCACAUUCACAACAUACAUUUAAAGCACUAUGAUAUCUGAUUUGAUCCCAGAAUGCCCUGGUUUUCCUUAGGAUGUCCCUAUCUUCAUCUGAGAAGUGUUGGACGGUAUGGAGUUAUGCAAUCCCCCGAGCCAGGGAGAGAAGUAACUAUACCACCUUUAGAAGACAUCUGAAGGCAGCCCUGUUUAGGGAAGGUUUUUUUAAUGUUCUAUUAUGUUUUUAUAUAUGUUGGAAGCCACCCAGAGUGGCUGGGGCAACUCAGAUGAGCAGGGUAUAAAGAAUAGAAUAGAAUAUCCCUAUUUUCAUAGGAGAAAUAAAUGUUGGAGGGUAUGGGAAUUUGCAUUGAAUUCUGCAGAACCGACAUCCUGGUAAGCAUGUAGGAGAUAGGAUUGCAAUGGACAAGAUAGGAGUACAUGCACACUGGAUUUUGCAUGCUUAAGGUAUAAAGGAAUAUGUGCCCUGGUGUCAGCAUUCAGGGACAUCAGAGGUAGGGUAGAAAUAUGAGGGGGGAGGUGUGUGCACCUCGCUGCCUGUGGCACAGGCUGGAUCAGACAUAUCAUCUAUUCCAGCUCAGUGUCAUUCUAAUCUAAGACAGUUUUAUAUCAAACCCGCUUGUCAGUUGAAAAACAGCAAGGGCUCCUGCUAUGAAAAGGCAAGGGGAGGAACGUGAAUGACACUGUACUGAGAGCAGACGGCGAUAGCAGCUGCAUGCAGCAUUAUAAUGGCUGAGCAAAAGCACAAAGGCAUUAAACCUCUUGAGCGACAAUUCAACUAUAUAGACUCUGCACAUCCCUUAAUGGAGAAUCCGGAAUGAGCAGGGAGCUAUUGUUGGAAGUGCAGCAGAAGAGAUCAUUCAGUUUGCAACUUAGGGGUUAAUUCUCUUACCAAGGGAGGAGGGAGGUGCAGCUUAGCAACCAGGCUGAGUGGCAUGAUCUCUGGUGAUGUAGCAUCUUGGCUGUUUAGUUUGGAGGCAGUAUUUCCUCUGGGUGUUUGGCUGAAUGUCUCCCCACGCUGUGCAUGGCCCGAACAAAAAAGGGCAAAAGCUCUCUGCUUUCUUUCUCCUCACAUUAUACAGUGGUACCUUGGUUCUCAAACUAAAACCGUUCCAGAAGUCCAUUCCAAAACCAAAGCAUUCCAAAACCAAUGUGUGCUUUCCCAUCGAAAGUAAUACGAAGCAGAUUAAUCCAUUCCAGGCUUUUAAAAACAACCCCUAAAAUAGCAAUUUAACAUGAAUUUUACUAUCUAACAAGACCACUGACCCAUAAAAUGAAAGCAAUAAACAAUGUACUGCAGUCACACAAUCAAUCAAUCAGUAGCUGAACUGGGUUCCACACAGUCACAAAAACAAAACAAAAACGCCACAAAAACAAAAACGCAAAAUAAAUAGCAAAAAUAGACAGACCUCAGCAUAACACUCAAAACUGAAUUGUGGCACUCAAAUCAGAAGCAUAACACUCAAAACAGAGCCCUUUUGGCUGCCGAAAAUAGUUCGCAAACUGGAACACUUACUUCCAGGUUUGCAGUGUUUGGGUUCCAAGUCAUUUGAGUACCAAGGCGUUUGAGAACCAAGGUACCACUGUAUACUAUUUUGGUUGAAAUUGUGCAGUAGAGUGAUUGGGAUUCUUCUCUCUUGACUGGUAUUUAAGAGACGUUACUAACAGCUAUAGUUACAAGGUUACCCAAAGGGUCAUCUAGGUCAACCCCACUGCAAAGCAGAAAUCACAGCUAAAGAACCCCUGGCAGAUGGCCACCCAACCUCUGCUUGAAAACCUCCAAGGAUGAAGAGUUCAUGGACAGUCCAUUCCACUAUCAAACAGCUCUUAUUAUCAGGAAGUUCAUCCUAAUGUUUAAUUGAAAUCUCCUUUCUUGUAACUUGAAUCCAUUGAUUCAGGUCCUCCUCUUUAGAGCAGGAGAGAACAAGCUUGCUCCAUCUUCUGUGUGAUAGCCCUUUAGAUAUUUGAAGUUGGCCAUCAUAUCUCCUUCUCAAUCUCAUUUUUUCCAUACCCAAACUCCCUCCCAAACAUACCCAACUCCCUCAACCAUUCCUCAUCAGGCUUGGUGUCCAGACCCUUGGUCAUCUUGGUCACUGUCCUCUGCACACCUUCCAGCUUGUCAACACCCUUCUUCAACCCUGGUGGCCCAGAACUGGACACAGCAUUACAUAUGGGGUCUGACCAAGGCAGAACACAAUGGGACUAUUACUUUCCUUGAUCUGGACACUAUAUUUCUGUUGAUAUGAUGUGUCUUCUGCCCAGGGCUUCUUCAGAAGGAGGAGUUGGGGUAUAUAUAAAUUGAAUGGAUGGCUGAAUAACAAUUGCUUCAUUACAAAGUAAACUAUGAGACUCUGUAUAUUUUUGUAAACCGUUUUGAACUCCCCCCCCCAAAAAAUGUAUAUAUUUAAUGAAAAAAAUACAAUAAAAAGGUCACCCAGUGAGAUUCGUGGCUGAGUGUAGAUUUGAACUCUGGUCUCCCGGGUCCAAGUCCAACACUCUAAAUCAUGGCACCACACUGGCUAUCAAACUGGUGUAUGUUUACCACCAAGUUUAAAACGUCAGGAAUUAAAGCUUCUUAUUAUUUGCCGUGGUCCAACAUAUUCUCUCUCUCUCUCUCUCUCUCUCUCUCUCACACACACACACACACACACACAGCCUGUCCCUUUCCAUCCCACCCAGAGGCAUCUGCUAUGCAAGCUGCUUAGCUCUCAUUCAGUGCGUGCCCUGCGGACCACAGGAGGGCAAACAGCUGAAAUCCAAUCAAGCAACUCUCUUUGGGACGAAGCACAUGAUGUGCCUGCCUGCCAGACUCCGGUUUUAAUGGACAUGGCAAAAGAAAGAAAAUAAGCUUAUGCACAGAUUCAGCAAAUAAUGCUUUGUUAGCAAAACGUGAAGCUGUCAGGUCUGUUUUGCAUUAGCCAGCCUUUGGGGAAAAUGAAACAGGGAGGUGGGGAGAGGGGGAAAGAGAAGGUGGGGGGAAGGAAUUAUUUUUGACAAGCCCUUGCCCUGCCCUCCAUCAAAUGCUCAAUAUUUGCUGCUAAUUGUUAUACAGAAACCACCUGCAAUUUAAGAGCACCGGGGACUUUCUGCAUCACCAUCUCCCUGUGUGGCAGGGCUCUGUUUUGCCUCAAUUGUUGUAAAGACAGGCAGAAAUCCCACAGGCACAGGUUGGAAGUCACAGAACGCAGAUGCCACAGGGAGCUUUUCCUGAUGAAUUUCCAUCCAUUUCUUACAUUCAAAUGCCCCAACCGUCCUUACUGAUCUGGAGGUAGUCCUGGAUUUCCAGUUUCUUGUCCCCAUCAGUUUAAUCUUCUGGGUGCCUGUUGCAGUGGGUGACAUUGAGCAUGAAUGGACCUGGCACCAAAAUUUGUGGGUGCCUGGCCUCUUCAUUGGGAAUUUAGUGGGUGCUCGGGCACCCAGGGCCCUGGGAGUUGGCACCUAUGCACAUCAUUUGUCAAUAUUUAUUUUUCUAGCCAGGCUGAAGCUGGCUUAAGAAGAAACCACAUCAAACAGCAGUAUUUGUCAAGAAACAAAGGUUCCCUAUUAGGAAAGACAGAUCAUAUCUGUUUCCAUUCCAUAUUACCUUCAUAUGUGCUCACUUGCAGGCCCAUCCUAUCCCCCUCUUUUUUGCAGAUUAAAACACAAACACACACACACACACACACACACACACACAAUUCUGUUUAAGUCGCCUUCUUGGCCCAAUCUUCCCCCUAAAUAUGCAUUUUCGUAUGCUUUCCAUUAUAUUCCCCCCUAAAAUACACAUUUUCAAAAAAAGCAUUACUGGGUAUAUUUUAAUAGCAAACCUUGAAACUGCAUCAUGGAAUUUGGAGAAAUAAGUAAUUUGAUCAAUUAGAUUGCAAUCCUUAUGUGAACCUAGGACAAUCAAAUUUGUGCUGCUCAUUUUAAAAUGCAGACCAAACACAUUUGUCCUCCUUCCCUAAUACUGCUUUCAAAAACAGAGAUAUGUGACUCUGUUUCAAGAAAAUUCCCAGGAACUGGUGUUCAGAGGGAUAGCUCAGUCAGCAGAGCUUGGGACUCUCAGUCUCAGCAUGGGACUUUUAAUCACUGGCUGGUUUCACUGCCCCUGUUUCACCCUGCCCCAACCCGCAUCCCUGUCUCCUGCCCAGCCCUGAUGGGUCCAUUUCCUCUGAUGCAAUAGAGAAUCAGGGCUGCUUGUCCCAGUUUUGUAUGGCACUCCAUCCUUUUUGCAUGGUUCUUAUCUAUUUGCAGCUAGAGAGGCCUACAAUGCUCAGAGAUAUUCCACUUUGGUGCAGCAAGACAUUGAAAGUUCAUGAAGCUUAUUUGCAAAAGCAGACAAUGUGAUGAUAAUGAUGAUUUUGCACCUGUGUAAGAUUUUCUGAACAGUUAUUUCACACACUUGCACAGGUGUCAAUCAACUCCACUAAAAUAUUUGCUAAUUCAGAGCCUGCUGGGCCAAACUUAAUUCUUAUUCCGUGCUGAAGCUCUGACUGGCUUGCCGUUUUCACAUGUUGUUGCUUGGUGACUCAUCCAUCCGCUUGUGCUUUACAGAUCCGCAUAAAUCCAUUUGUGCGUCAAUAAAACACCACGUGGAAAAUAAGUCUUGAUGAAAUUAUAUAAAUGAUGAGUCAGCUGUGCGAUGCAUUUGCAGCUUGCAUCAACAGAAGUACGGUGGGCAGAUCAUGAGUAAGAAUGGCCACAAGAGGCGACGACGUCCACCAACUUGGAUGUAUUGAAAAGAGGAUUAGACAAACUCAUGGAGGGUAAGGUUAUCAAUGGCCACAAUCCCUGAUGGCUACUCUCUACCUCCACUGUGACAAUACGCUUCUGAAUACCAUGAAUAACAAAUAGGGAAAUGGCAUAACCUCCAACAUUUCUCUGAUGAAAAUAGGGACAUCCUAUUCCAUAAUAACAAUAAUAAAUAAUAAUAAUAAUAAUAAUAAUAAUAAUAAUAAUAAUAAUAUUUUUAUCAUUGUUCAUACCUUGCCCAUCUGAGUGGGUUGCCCCAACCACCACCCUGGCCAGCUUCCAACAUAUAUAAAAACAUAAUAAAAUAGUAAACAUUAAAACUAUACAGGACUGCCUUCAGAUGUCUUCUAAAGGUUGUACAGUGGUGCCUCGCAAGACGAAAAUAAUCCGUUCCGCGAGUCUCUUCGUCUAGCGGUUUUUUCGCCUUGCGAAGCAGCCCUAUUAGCGGCUUAGCGGAUUAGCGCUAUUAGCGGUUUAGCGGCUAUUAAAGGCUUAGCAGCUUAGCGGCUAAAAGGCUAUUAGCGGCUUAGCGGCUUAGAAAAGGGGGGGGGGAGCGAAAAAAAUCGCAAGACUCGCAAGACUUUUUUGUCUAGCGAAGCAAGCCCAUAGGGAAAUUCGUCUUGCAAAGCGCAUCGAAAAACGGAAAACCCUUUCGUCUAGCGGGUUUUUCGUCUUGCGAGGCAUUCGUCUUGCGGGGCACCACUGUAUAGUUAUUUACCUCCUUGGCUCGGGGGAGGGGGGUGUCAGAUAAUUCCAUACCCUCCAACAUUUCUUGAAUGAAAAUAAGGACAUCCUAAGGAAAAGCGGGACAUUCUAGAAUCAAAUCAGAAACCAGGACGGCUUCUGUAAAUCCGGGGUUUCUUUGGAAAAUAGAGACACUUGGAGAGUUUCAAAUGGCUGUUGCACUCAGGUGACACUUGCAUGAUUCCCAUAAGUUGGCCACAGUGAGAACAGGAUGCUGAACUAGAUCCAGAAUGAAAAGAUCAUUAUCCCCCCCACCUUCUCCCUCCCUCCCUCCAUCUCUUUCACUGAGGACAAUAGUGUCUCAUACCGAAUGUAACUAAACUGUGACAAAGACUCUAUGAAUUGAAAGUGGAGGUGCUAUACUUACCUUUCCUUGUUAAUUUGUUUGUUUUGUAUCACAAGAAAACUGCAAUAAAAACUUUUUUUUAAAAAAGGAGAUUUCCUCCCCUUGAACUUGAAACAAUUCCCCUCCAGGAAUUGGAAGGUGAAGAGAACCACAGGGCACACAGAGCUAGCAUCCUGGGAAAAGGCUGGUAGUGUAACAGUAGAACAUCUGCCUCACAAGCAGAAAUCCCAGGUUCAAGCCCACGUAGGGCUGGGAGAGACUUCCUGUAGAAAACCCUGCAGAGCAGCUGCCGGUCAGUGGAGCCCCUAAUCCAGCUUUUGUAGGAGAAGGACUGUAGCUCGGGAGCAGACAGGGCCAGCCCACCAGUGAGGCAAAGUGAGGCAAUUGCCUCAGGUGGCAAGAUCCACAGGAGCAGCAGAUCUGGCCUCCAAGGAAUGCAUCGCCUGUGGCUGCUGCUGCAGCAACAGUGACAGCCGCAGGGCACUUAUUGGAGAAUGGAUUUGCCGCUCCCUUGGCAACACUCCCCCCCUCCCAGUGCCACCUCCACAGUGGUCUUUAGGGGAAUAGGAGGUGCUGCUGGUCACCUCCAAGUCUUGUUCCCUACAUAGAUCUUUAUCCUGCCCUCCUUGAUCCUGAUGUAGAUCUUCACUCAGCCAUUCUUCCCUGGUAGGGGUGGAGCCAUCUUGCGGCUUGCCAAAAUGCUUUGGGCUGGGAGCAGAGCAUCUAUUUUGCAUGAAAAGGGCCUCAGGUCCAAUCCUUGGCUUCUCCAGGGAGGGCCGACAAUGUCCCUUGCCUGAAACUCUGGAAAGCCUCUAUGAAUCAGUGUUGAGCUACAAUGAUUGGACUCCAAUCAUAAAUUUAAUAAUAAUAAUAAUAACUCAUUUAUACCCCACCCAUCUGCCUAGGUUACCCCAUCCACUCUGGGCAGCUCCCAACAGAAUAUUAAAAACACAGUAAAACAUCAAACAUUAAAAACUUCCCGAAACAGGGCUGCCUUCAAAUGUCUUCUAAAAGUCAGGGAGUUGUUUAUUUCUUUGACAUCUGGUGGGAGGGUGUUCCACAGGGCAGGCACCACUAUGGAGAAGGCCCUCUGCCUGGUUCCCUGUAUCUUCACUUCUUGCAGAAAGGGAACAACCAGAAGGCCCUCGGUGCUGGACCUCAGUGUCCGGGUAAAACGAUUGGGGUGGAGACAGGUAUGCUGGGCCGAGGCCAUUUAGGGCUUGAAAGGUCAGCACCAACACUUUGAAUUGUGCUUGGAAACGUACUGGGAGCCAAUGUAGGUCUUUCAAGACCAGUGUUAUAUGGUCCCGGCAGCCACUCCCAGUCACCAGUCUAGCUGCCGCAUUCUGGAUUAGUUGUAGUUUCUGGGUCACCUUUAAGGGUAGCCCCACAUAGAGCGCAUUGAAGUCCAAGCAGGAGAUAACUAGAGCACAUCCCCUUGUGUGUUUAGCUUACACUCAAUGUGCACACCUGAAAAGGACUUACGGUAUAUUUGUGGGGUCUCUCAGGAAACUGCCAACUGGUCCCCACCUACUUCGGUGUCCCCAGCUCACUGGUAAGGCUUAACGGGAGACAGUUGCAGCACUGGGGAGUUUGGGUGUGCCAAUCAGCUAAAGAGGCUCCCACUUUUCCCCAGAGCUGGCUCUGGCUGAAGCUGGCUUAAGCCCCAGCCUGCAAUAAGCUGUAUGUUCCCUCAAGACAUUUUGAGCUGCUCUGCUUGAGUUCUGCAGAGCCCAGCCAGGAGCGGUGGAAGCUACUGUUUGGGUGUAUCCUUCGAAAGAUAACGAUCGUUAAAUUGCUUUGACAUCCCACUGAUGAAAUAGCGCUGCAUAAGGGCUUAGCGUCGUUAUUCAUAGGGAUAAUGGCGUUUUAUCAUCUCAAAGAAAGUGGUUUAAAUUCCUGAAGGGAAUCAGAAAGCUCCAGCUGUAGCCUGGAAGUAUUUAUUAAGAGACUAGACUCUCUUUUUUCCUCCGUUCUGAAAUAUAUCUGUAUAUACAUUCCUGUACAGUAUACAUAAAGUUGUCGUCUCACAGCCCUCAUUGGAAGAUCCUACUUCACAAUCCUGUAGACUUGCAGGAAGUCAGAACACAGCCCCCAGGGGAGGGUUUGCCGUGCCUCAUCUGAAUCCUGAAUCAACAUGAAGAAAUGGAGUUGGGAAGCUGAAAAGCGAGCUUGGUAGUUUAAUGGGGUGGGAAGGGAAAGUUCUAGGGCAGUGGGUGAUACCGCCCCCUAGGGGCACUGGACUGAUCCAGGGGGCGGUAAUAGCCUCGGGUGCAAUGGGGGGCACUGAAUAAAAAUAAGGGAGCAGUGGAACCAUAAAGAAAGAAGAGAAGAAAAUUUCAAAAAACCAUUUGGACAUGCUUCAUUGGUUGUGUAAUGAUGCUUACCGCUAGGUAAGGAGCUAUUUUGGGAUGGCGACAACACCUCCCUUGGACCCGGCAGUCAUGCUGGAGGCAAGGGGUAUUCUUGAGAUUGGGUGAACCCUUUUCUGGCUUCACCCACCCAGGCCCAGGAAAUAGACUGCAGCUUGCCUGCCUAUUUGGCCAACGCCAGCCCUGUCCCUGGGGCGGAUCGGACUGAGCUGGCAGGUUUUAAUAAAUAAUUUUAUAAUUUCAAGCUUCCCGAUGUCUUAUUUACAACAACCUCUUUCUUUACUAUGUUGUAGGACAUAGGUGGGAAUAUAGAUACAUAAAAAAGAACACAAAUUUAUCACUGCAUCUUUGUUCGCUUAAAGAAGGUCGAUUUCCAUGGGGGCGGUGGGCUUUUUUUCCCCUGAAAGGGGGGAGGUAGGUCAAAUAAGUUGGGAAAACUCUGCUCUAGGGGUUGAUCUGGAGAGAGAAAAGCAAGGAGGCUGGCAUGCAAGACAAGCAGAGGCAGAGUCCCUAGGAGAUAGAUGAUAGAUAGAUAGAUAGAUAGAUAGAUAGAUAGAUAGAUGAUAGAUAGAUAGAUAGAUGAUAGAUAGAUAGACGAUAGAGAUAGAUAGAUGAUAGAUAGAUAGAUAGAUAGAUAGAUGAUAGAUAGAUCCAGAAACUAUAAGCAUAAGUCCCACAAGAUCAAACAUCAACCUGCAUUGAGUUUUACCACAAUCCAGGCUGGCAGUUAUGGGCUCCAGCUGGACCCAAGACGUUUUGUUGCCUGAGGCAAAGACCACACGACAUGUCCUUCCAGGUACAGUAGCCAGCUAGCUUUUCACUACAACCCCAGUGAUGGGACAACAUCAUCUACCCCAAACUUGAGACUAGUGGAGCAAUGACCCAUCAGUCUCAGCCUUUCCUCAGCCAGUAAGCACCUGCCUGCCUUCUGAAGAAUGACCAGUCCAGCAGGUGGCGCUGGCUGUCAGCAUCUCACUAGGGAGGAGGAUGGGGUCAAAACUAGGAUGAGUUGACUCUGCCUGUCAUAGGCUCUGGCGCCACCUACUGGUGGGCUCCCCACCUUCUGCCCCAUCAGUACUCAGUGGGCGCCAACCGCCACUGUCAUCAGGAAACCUCAGAAUAAAGAGCUGCAAUAUUCAAAAGCGGCAUAUUAGCCAAACAGACACACGCUGCAACAGCAAGCAGGUCAUGAUCUCAAUGUGCAAUUAAGGCCAGGGAACAUUCAUCUUCCAUGUACAGUUAAAAUAAAUAUAGCAGCUCUUUGUUGCAUCCUUCUUCGCAUAAACUUGCAGUGCUCUAGAGGCACACACCCCCCCCCCCCGCCGCCAGUACAAACUAGGUUAAUUAUUUCCAAAGAGCACGUCUAAAGGGUCAAAGUAGACACUGUGCUUGUGGUGUAUUCUGCCCUGGAGUGCUUCGUUUAUUUUUAAACAAAUAGCUGGCAUGUGGUGGACGCAGCUGGGUUAGGACCAUAGCAGAGUGGGGUGAAAGUGGGGGACUUCUAACUUUUCGCUCCUGCUUUGGUGCUGAUCGGAAUUACUCCCUCCUCCGCUCCUGCUAUUCUUAACGGGAGAAGAGCUCUCUCUCCUCAACAGAUACUUAAUGUGCAUACCAUUAACCUCCAAGGGGGCAAGAGUUUCCCACCUGCCUUGCCUGGGACACUUGGAACGAGGACCUGAUCCCUGUCAUGUAUUGCUUCAGGGGAGAAACCAUGGGAGCCAACAAAGGCAGGCUGCAGAAAACUGGAAGAGAAACUCUUGCGGAAGAGUUGAGCUUGCAUGCAAUACCCCUGUCUCUGUGGAGCAUCAACGGCUUGAGCAUAAGGAAGGAGGCUAUUCCAAUCUGCCCAGUUCACCUGCCGUUUCUGAACUGUGAUGGAGCUUGAAGAAGGACUGAGCAUCUUUAACUCCCUGGAUGAGUGAUGGGGAAAUGGCUGAUACGAGAGCCAGGUGAGAGCUGGGAGACAAGCUUACCAUACAAUGUAUGCAAGCUAAUUGUAGUGCGCUCCUGUGGCACAUUGUUUAGGUAGAAUGUCCCCCUUCCCCCCACCCGUAUAACUGAGUGCUACCAUUUUGUUUCCUUCUUGGACUUCAUUGCCUCUCUUAUGUAGUUUUAAGUUGUUAAAUUAGGUUGGCUUACUUCUAUUCAGUCUGUAACAUUGAGGCCAAAGGGGUCCCAAACAGGGGUGCCAACUCUAGGGGGCUGAGGUAUCUUCACCCCCUGAAUAUUUAUUAGAGAGGGCCUUGUGUGCAUCAUGCAUGUGUCAUGCUCGUGACACCACAGCAGCAUCAGUGGCCGGCUCCUCCAGAGUUCUCAGUCUCCUCUAGAUGCCCCCUCAAUCUUGAGGGCAACCUGGUGUCUCUGGUCCCAACCAAUGGAAAAGGUAGAACCUUUAUUUAUUUAAUGUAAUGUAAUGUAAUGUGAUUGUUUAAUUUAUAUCCCACCUUUCCUCCAAGGAGCUCAAGGUGGUGUACAUACUUCUUCUUCUACCCAUUAAAGUCAAUUAAAGAUCCAAUUAAAUGGAGAACCUCUGCGUAGGAGUGUUUUCGCCAGGCAAAGUGCUUUUGCAUUCAGCGCCUCCCUGCCUCCCACAUUUCAUGCUGGAGCAAGAGCCAGGUACUGAGACGAACUGCAAGUAAAUCCCAUUCACCCAGUCCCUGGGGGGAAUUUGCAAGGAUGAUUUACCCUCUGUCAUCCUUGUUUUUCGUUCGUCGACAAUCCCCUGCUGUCGUGGGGCUGCCUCCAUUAAGGCAGGUGGGACCGGAAGCCUAACCACGAACUGCUCUGACCUGACCCUGCCUCUCACCUGACCCUUGCUAUGACUUCUGCUAGCUCAAACCCUAAUUUUGGACUGCUUUGACUUUCCUCUCACAUGACCCUUUGUUGGGAACUCUGCUUGCUUGGACUCUGAUGUUGGGCCAGCCCUAGAUACUGCUUCGGUUGUUGCCCCAUUGAAGUCAGUGCUGGCAAGCAGUGGCGUAGCAAGGUCAGGUGGUACCCGGUGUGAAAAAUUUCUUGUCACACACCCCACAUUGAAAUCUAGUUGGACUUCCAAGAGACUGUGAUCUACUCACAGUAUAAAAAGACUGGCUGUUAUCUACUCAUUGUCAUUGCCAGGAGUUGUUGAUCUUUUGGGGGGUUGCAAGGUUUGGGUCCUGAGCUGAGAGAGCUUCUGCUUCUCUCCUUCCCUCCAUCCUCUGCUUGUUUGCUCACCUGCCUCCUUCCUGUCCUCUCCCUGCCUGCCUGCCUAAAUGCCUCCUCCAGCAGCCUGGGACCACAGGGCUGUCAAAACAAAGCAGCAAAAAGAGACGCAACUACUGGUAGGCGGGAGUCACGGGUGGGCUGCAGGCCGAAUGUCACCCCUCCUUGGGGCGGACCGCCCCCACCUUGCUCCGCCCCUGCUGGCAAGUCCUCUGUGAGAGGCCCAGUAAGAACAGGACAGUCUACAGCCAAGGUCUUCCCCAUCACUUGCUUCCUGGUCUUCUUCACCGGAGGUGCCCUCUGCUUUGUCACUGAGCUGUGGGCCAUCCCCUCUGAUGGCACCUGGAACUGCUUACUUGCCUCAUUCCAUCCUUUUGUCGGCAAUCUCUGAUCUAUCUGAAGAGCCAUGGGAUGUUGCGGGUUAGGUUUUCACAUCGCUGCGCUGUGCCUGGAGCUUUCAAUAAAAAGAAUGGAAGCCUUCCAAGCUCCAAGGGAGCGUUCCAUCUGCAGAACAUUUUUAUUACUCCAGCAGCCACAGAAGAAAUUAGAUCCAUUAAAGAUUGCUGGUUCGCUCAGGAACUGGAGGGCCAGCCUUGUGUUAGGUUGGGGAAGGGUUAUCUGAACGGCCAUAAAUCACGUAGUGGGGGAAUUGGCACAGCGGUGAUUGGAGCUCAGCUGCGAGGGGGAGGGCAGGAAGUCCCCGUUCAUUUGCAAAAUGAGUAAGGGUGGGUGUCUUUCCAUUUGAAGGACUGUAAGAGGGCAGCUGCCCCAUUUCAACGAGUGCUGAGGAUGCAUCUCUUUAGCCUAGAGUAUGAUACAAGAGUCGUAUAUUUUUCAGGGCCUCCCCUGUUUCCUUUGACUGUAAUGAGUUUUGAGCCAUUUUUAAUAUUGAAUUGUAAAACUCUAUAAAACCCACCCUGGGACCUUAUGGCAAAGAAAUCAAAUAAAUGGUAAGAAAUCAAAUAAGGAUAACGACGACAACUUCCUUACUGCAUACCCUCCAACAUUUCUCCAAUGAAAUAGGGACAUUUUAUUGUACAUCAGGAAGCUUCUCACACAUUUGAUCUCGCUGUACACAUAGACGUCUUAUACACAUAGACAUCUGUCACCUUAAGCCAAUUGCAAUGUCACCGCCAAACCUACCACACAGGAUUGUUGUGAAGGAAAAAUGUGCGAGGGGAUAUUGCACAACACCUUCCACAGAUAAAUGGAAUGAAAUAAAAUUCUAGCUGUAAGCUGCCUUGAGUACCUGUCAGGGAAAAAGUUGGGGUAAAACAACAACAACGGAAACUAUGAGAAUAAUCAAGAACAUUGUUGUUGUUUAGUCAUGUCCGACUCUUUGUGACCCCAUGGACCAGAGCACACCAGGCACUCCUGUCUUCCACUGCCUCCCGCAGUGUGGCCAAACUCAUGCUGGUAGCUUCGAGAACACUGUCCAACCAUCUCGUCCUCGGUUGUCCCCUUCUCCUUGUGCCCUCAAUCUUCUCAUGAGGUGGCCAAAGUACUGGAGCCUCAGCUUCACGAUCUGUCAUUCCAGUGAGCACUCAGGGCUGAUUUCCUUCAGAAUGGAUAGGUUUGAUCUUCUUGCAGUCUAUGGGAGUCUCAAGAGUCUCCUCCAGCAGCAUAAUUCAAAAGCAUCAAUUUUUCAGCGAUCAGCCUUCUUUAUGGUCCAGCUCUCACUUCCAUACACCACUACUGGGAAUCAGGAACAUACAAGAGAGUAUAUCCUAUUGAACUCAGUGGGACUUAGUUCAGAGUAAAAAUGCUUCGAAGUCCAGUGUAAGGCUGCACAGUCUUCGGCCAGUUAUCUGAGAGUAAGCUCCAUUGAAUACAGUGGGACUUACUUCUCAGUAGACAGUGUAAGGCUCCAUUUACAAUAAUGGAAUAAACACUCCCUGCAUUUCCCAUACAUAUAUAGAUAUAGAUAUAGAUAUAGAUAUAUGUAUGUGCUGGCUGCUAAAGCAUUGCAAUUAAAGAAUUUAAAGUGGAUCUGUGACCUUUUCCUUCAAAAGUAUAGGAAGGGCUUUGUAUGCCAUCAUCACCAUUUCCUUCAUUUGGUGCAGGAAUUUUAUUUUCAGUAUAAACAGAACUAGCUCCCCCCCCCCCAUCUACACACACCACUUUUAAUGUUUCUCCCAAGAUGUGGAGGGGAGGAAAAAGGAAAACCAGGACAUUCUGGGAUCAAAACAGACACCGAGAUAGCUUCUGUUAUUCCAGGACUGUCCCUGGAAGACAGGGAUACUUGGAGGGUAAAUUGCUGUCUUGUCUCAACAGCAAAUUCCAUCGCGUUCAUUCCAACCUCCUCUUUCCUGCUGAAUGUAGCAAGAAACCCACACAAAGGACAUCGUCUGUAACAAUCGGAUGCGUUCGCAACAAUUUCCUUCUUACCGCGUACACUUGACUGCUACAAUUAAUGAAUAUCUGCUCAGAGUUUCCAGAAUGGCAACAUGCCAUACGGAGAAAGAAAACAGUGUUACUGCUUGUAUAUAUGUGUGUAACGGUGGGAGAUUGUGGGGCUGGAAGAAACAACUUAUAAAAAUCAAUAAAAGCUUUUAUGGGGUAAUUUCAGUGAUCACAUUACACAAAGCUGGAGACAGACAUCAAGUAAAAAAAAAAAAAGUUUUAUGGAUUCCUCCCCAUUAUGGAUUGAUUACUAGUGCAUUUCAUCACCAUGAUUUCCUUCUAAAAUCGAUACUCUUUUGAGUUUCCCAUGGCACGAUAACCUAGAAAAAGUGUUCGGGUUCAAGGACUGCUUUGGGGGGGUUUUCCAGCCCCCUCCCCCCCAAAUAUUCCUUCUCACUGUAGGGUGCAAGCAGACAAGCCUAGCUGAGAUUACAAUACAUCCACUCAUUCCUCGCAAAACGAGGGCUAUGAAACAAAGGCUCCGACUACAAAGACAAAGCCUUAUCUUCCUCCAUGAAUUUGCCCGAUCCUCUUUCAAAGCCAUCCAUGUUGGGGGCCAUCAAUGCUUCUUGGAGGAGUCCCUGAAUUAACUAUGGGCUGUGUGAGGAAAUGCUUUCUUUUAUGUGCCCUGAAUCUUCCAAAAGGAUAAGUCAUGCUGAAGGCAGGAUGCAAGCCUUCAGUAAUAGGUAUAGUUGAGAGGAAAGAAGCAGACUUGGAUCCUUGGUGUGAGGAUCACUGGGAGAUCCAGUUAAAAGGAUCGAGUAAAACAGGGACUAGAUCUUUACCAGGAUUGACUUGCGGGCCAACUUUGGCCCAACACAACAAUCCCUUGACAUCAAUAGGAUGGGAGUGGAAGCCUUUUUUUGGAUUAUUUGAGAAAAAUAUAACCAAAUGAAAUCGAGGGCAGGAUUUGAAAUCUGAGCAACAGGAAGAAAAUGCUAAUACAGUCGUACCUUAGUUGCCGAACACUUCAGCUCCCUAACAAUUGAAAACCAGAAGUGAGUGUUCCGGUUUUUGAACGAUUUUCAGAAGCUGAAUGUCAGGUGCAGCUUCCGCGGCUUCUGAAGCUGUGCCUUGGUUUUUAAACGGUUCCGGGAGUUGAAUGUGUCAGAUGAAAUGUGUGAUAUUAUGCAGUAUAUGAAGGGGAUGAGUGUAAAAGCAGGUGGGAAGUCAAAUUAUAAGAGAAGUAUCUAAUAAAUUUGAAAUUUGAAAUUAAUUGGUUAAAGUUAUGAAAAUUUAAUAAAAAUCUUAAAUAGGUAAUAAUAAUAAAACAAUCACUUCAUUUUAACAGGGUGUCCCAUGCAAACCCCAUCCUGAAUCGGGAAAAGGGUUACAUGGAAUCCAAACUGAGCAGGAUCAUUGCUGCUUUGGCUGCAUGUGUCUGUUCUCUCCAGGAAACUGGGAGACACAGCCAACACAGGAUGUAACCUCACCAUACUGCCCAUCAGGUGACAUUCCAAACGAUGUCAGCUGAUGAUUAGGACAGGAGUGGCUUGGGAAAAGAACUCAUGGGCUAAAAACUGGAUCCGCUGGAGGGUCAGGAUUAGUCCGUGGGCUGGAAGUUCCUCAUCCAUGAAGUAGAAGUUAUGGAAGGUCUUUCUCUUCUGGAGAGCUGCUGUUGGUCAGAUUAUACAAUGCCGGGCUAGAUAGACAAAUACUCUGACCUUGCAUAAGGCAGGUUACUGUGUGCCUCACCCAGGAAUGCAGAAUCUGAGGAUUUCCUGUUGUUGUUGUUGUUGUUGUUGUUGUUGUUGUUGUUGUCUUACAUCUCCCACCAUCCCUGAUCACUGCCUAUGCUGAAUGGGUCUGAUGGGAGCUAGGAGUCUCCAACAACCUUGGGAAGUGGAAGCACAGGAUCCUCAUCCCUGUGGAAUAUGUUGACUUCCUAUGUUUCUGAAAACUGACAUUUCCUAAGAGUGAUUCUAAUUUUUGCAAGUAAAAAUAACGGGCGGCGUAUGUUCCUGCUCUGUCAGCUAAAGGGACCUCUUGAUGAAGAGGUCACAACUGCCUCUGGAUUCUGCUGCUUUAAAAUAAAUAUAAAUCUAGCAAUGCUAUAGCGAAGUUAUCUACCAGCCCUUUCUACAUGAUGAAGAGUACCACAUACUCCUAGGCCAACACUACAACUACAACAACAAAAAUUCCCCCUACCUAUUUUGGUAUUCUCCCUUGCUACUCACAGAGCUGCACACACCACUUCUCUUUUGAUUAGGCAGAUCAAACCAUUUAUUUCCUAAAAAUGAAUACGUACAAGACUGAAAAGCCAUUUCAGUAUACCGUGGUAGAAGCUGCGAGAUUCCUCCCGCCCUGCACCCCGCUGCUGAACCCAGUCGAGGCUGAAAUAUUGUUUACUGUAGUUGAAAAUUAAGUUCCUAACUUGCGAGGCGUAAGUGGGGUGCUGAGCAGAAAAUGGGGAUAAGAUCACAAACCUUGCUGAAACAAAUGGCAUGCCCACCAUCCUUUCCUCAUGCAGAAAGGUACAGCAGUAAGAAUGGAAGUUUUUCGAGCCGGGAAAGCACAGGUUUCUAAACUAGGAUGUGGUGUUACAGGAAUGCCAAGGCUGCAGGCUCCAAAAUGGCGGUGGGGUGGAAGGCUAUACCACCCUGGUUUUCACAGUGAUCCACCAGAUGCUUAUGGGAAGAGCACAAGCAGGAUGUGCACUCAAUAAGCAGUCUCCAGCCCAUGAGUCACAGAAACUGAUACUGGAGAUUGCUUCUGGCACUGGAGGCAAAAACCAGGGAACAUAAGAACAACUUGUGGGAUCAGGCCAGAGAACCAUCAGGUCCAACAUCAAGUUCUUACAGUAGUCAGUCAGGUGACCAUGGGAAGCCCACAAGCAACAGUACUCUCCCUUCCUGCAUUUUCAGGUAUUCAGAAACGUACUUCCUGCAACACAUGGAGAUGGACCAUAGCCACCAGGUUAGUAGCCAUUGAUAGCCAUAGCUGCUGUGAAUUUGUCCAAUCUUCUUUUAAAGCUAUUCAAGUCGGUGGCCAUCCCUGCCUCCUGUGGAAGUGAGUUCCCCACAGUUUAUCUUUGCACUACACGAAGAAGGGCUUUUUCUCUUUUUUCCUUUCCAGAAUCUUCCAGCAUUCAGUUCAAUUCAAUGUGCAGAUGUGAGAAGCAUCCCAAGUCUGGACUCCUCAAGGCUGCCACAUCCUAAUACCCCCCCCACUUCCCCACAGCAGCUAGCAGCCCCUCCUGUUAUUAGGCAACUUAUGGGAUCAACCAUUCCCUUUUGGAAUGCUCUGUGACAUCACAGCAGUUAAGCCAAUGCCUGAGGAGCUCAGGACUGUCGCUUUAUAGCGUUUUCUCCUUCUCAAAAGUGGCUGCUCAAGGAGAAAAACAGCAACUUUAGGGCUGUCAAAUGAUCCGCACAGAAGGCCAGCCAAGAACACAGUUCUAAUAGUUCUCCUUGCAUGAUUUAAAAACAAAACAAAAACCCUUACAGGGCUGAAUCUUUUUGCUUCCAAACAUUGUGUGUCUCCACCUCUCUCCUGCAUCUUGAUGAGUAACCAGACCUUUAAUUCAAAGUAGUGCAACCCACUCCCUGAUCAACCAUGACAGUUACAACUGGGUCCCAUUAGGCCAGAAAGGAGGAGACUAUAACUCCUUGCUUGUUAAUUGCCUUUUUGCAAAGUCUAUCCUGCUUCUGCAACUGGACUUCCUUAAACUGACUCCUCUAGCUCCUAUAAUCUUUGGAGUCAUCUCUGUACUGAUGAACGCAGAAGCAGACAUCUGAAGCACCACAUCAUAGUUGACCUUCCCAAGUAAUAAUCCCACUAUCUUUCCCUUUCCUACAGUGAGCUUUUAUAUAUAUAUAUUUUACAGAAACAUUAAAUAUUUACUUUGAUUGUUAUUCUCUUUCAUUAGUGACUGAGCCAUAGCGGGCUCCAAAAUGCUGAAAGGGAGCGGCAUGUGAAUGCAUCACUGUCUUGGGAAUAUGGCUGCGUUUGCAAAAGGCAAAAAGGAAACUACACAAGCUCUGCUCCCUGUAGGGCUCAGCCAAACGUCUGGUUCGCUCGCAGUUUACAAAUGGUUUCCCUGAUUAAUCAUUCACAGAAAACGACAGCGGUAAACAGCAACUGAGUCCAAGGCAAUGCUAGCAAAACCACAAGUGUCAGCCACAAUCGGCAUAGCCCGGCCCUACCGUUAGGCGAAGGGAGGCAACCAGGUGGCUGAGCAUGGAAGAUUCGUCUUCAUUUGCUUUUGCUUUUGCUUUUGCUUUUUAAAAUGCAUUGGUGUUCUCAUUUUGUAUUUUCCUGUUGCGGAUCGCCCUGCAAUCUUCAGGUGCAAAUUUAAUAAGUGAAUAAAUGUAAUACUAAAUGAAUAAAUAACUAAAUAAGCAAACAAAAAUAACAGUGGAAGCUCCCAAAUAGGGCCAGCCCGCUCAUGAGGCAAGGUCAGGAGGUUGCCUUAAGGCAGCCUUUCUCAACCUGUGGGUCCCCAGAUGUUGUUGAACUACAACUCCCAUCACCCCUAGCUAACAAGGCCAGAGCUCAGGGAUGAUGGGAGUUGUAGUCCAACAACAUCUGGGGACCUACAGGUUGAGAACCACUGCCUUAAGGUAAUAGAUUCCGGAUAGGUGGAAAAGGCUGCAGAUCUGCCUCCUGCUCCUGCCAGCUUCUUUGCUGUGCGCUCACCGCUUCCGCUGGGUAGUGGCUGUUAGUAUUUCAUGCAGCCGAUGCUGCAAAUGUGACUGGUGUGAAUCACAUGCCUGUCUGAGAAGACUGUGGGAAUGGAAGACAGCCUUAUCUCUCUUCCGCUGUAUGUAGUGGUACCUCGGGUUAAGUACUUAAUUCGUUCCGGAGGUCCGUUCUUAACCUGAAACUGUUCUUAACCUGAGGUACCACUUUAGCUAAUGGGGCCUCCGCGCGAUUUCUGUUCUCAUCCUGAAGCAAAGUUCUUAACUCGAGGUAUUAUUUUUGGGUUAGCGGAGUCUGUAACCUGAAGUGUAUGUAACCCGAGGUACCACUGUACUUUGUAAUGUACUUUCACUUUUGGUUGUUCUCUCGGAGGGAAAGAGAAUGGUUGCCAUUAUGCUGUACCUAGCAGGGAGAAAGUCAACCAAACAUAUAGAGGAGAAAUUCUGUCAUAUAGCUACACAGCCAGUCACAGCAUGUGCAGCCUCAAUGAGGACCAUGCCACUCUGACACACGCAAUGAUCUCGGCUGCUACACUUCCAACACCAACAACAUCUGGAAGCCCACAGGUCCCCCCCACGCUAGAGUUAGUGGAUCCAUCUUUGAGCAUUAGCAGCAGAGGUUGUUUAUAUAUCCAAGUUGUCAGUGGUUUAAGCUGAAAGCCUGUUUUUUAUUUUUAGGAUUGACUGCUAGUCAUGUUGAAUCUCCCUCCUGACAAUCCAGAACUGUCCACCAUGCUGAGAAGAGGGAGGGAGAAACCGACUAUAGGGUGAGUUCACAGGGGUAGGAGGACACUUUCUGCCCCCUCAAUAUGCUCACAAGCCUACACACAACAUGAGCGCCAUCUUUUCCUGCUGAGGAACGUGGGUUUUGUAGCUUCUCCCGCCUACCAGCUGACAAGUAUUUCUCCUCAAUGUGAGAUGGAAGCUUCCAGUUAAUGGGAAGAAGGAACAGUCUCUCUUGUCCCUAGUGAAAAUUAGGAGAACAUUGGGUGGGAAUGGUGGUUUUUGUCCAUUGGGACUGGUAGGACAGAAGCCAGGGAGACAGACAGUAGGGGGAGCCAGAGUCAAUGUUAGACUGUUAGAUGGAGUCAACUAAUUCUACAGCAGCAAUAAAUUCAUCUUAAUAAACAAACUUCAAUUGUUGGGAGUUUCUCCCAUUUGCUUCCUUACCUCUUUCUUUCCUUCCCAAAAAUCAAUAUCAGGUAUAUAUAUAUAUAGAGAGAGAGAGAGAGAGAGAGAGGACACUUGAAAAGCUCAAGGGAAGCAAAAACAACAACACAACCCAGCUUAUGAAAUCUCCCCAGAAAAGUCCUUUAGGGUUUGUCCCCUAAAUUGUGAUACUUUAGUGCAGGCAUAGGCAAAAUCCGGCCCUCCAGAUGUUUGGGACUACAAUGCCCAUCAUCCCUAGCUAACAGGAUCAGUGGUCAGGGAUGAUGGGAACUGUAGUCCCAAACAUCUGGAGGGCCGGAAUUUGCCUAUGCCUGCUUUAGUGGUCAGCUUCUCAGAAACCCACUCCUUUAGUGGUCAGCUUCUCAGAAACCCACUCCACGCUUCUGAAGAGAGGCUCCCGCCAAACCUUUCCAGAAUCUAGGGAGCAAAAUCAUUUUUGUGUGUGAAUUUUGCAAUAUUUGGUUUGACUUCGAUGAUCACAUAGCAAAGCUGCCAACAGAAAAGCAGUGCAGUGCACAUUUAUAUAAGGAACAAAUUCAGCUUCUUGUGGCACAUCGUGAGUCAAGAUUUUUUUGGUGAAGUUACAGAUAAUAAUCCCAAUUAUUUGCUUAUUUUACUAUUUGUUGUUAUGAUAAAUGCAUGUAUUAAGGCAAAUGGCCUUGGAAAUUUUGUCAUCACAUUUGUUUUGUUUAACUCAGUAAAGUUUGCCUGGGGGGGUGCAACAGCAAAUCUCUCAGGAAAAAUGAACACCCCUGUGAUAAAUUUUAAGGAGCCCCUCCCCCAAAAUAAAUGUUUAUGUACUUUCUUUCGUCUCAUCUGUCAGCUGACAUCUUCAAUGACAAGUCGGUGUCAAAAGAGAGAGACAGAGAGAGCAUGUGACAGAUAGCUAGUUCAGCCUUGCCAUUGACUCCUGGCAGCUCUUGUAUUUUGCAGUUCUUCAUUUGGAGACAUAUCGCUGCAUUUCAAAGAAUGCUGUUGACUGUCGGAUUCAUCCCUGACCACGGAGCAGGUGCCCUCAGAAUAAACCCCACAGAGAAAAAUAGAAGGCUGCGUGUGGAGAAUGCUUCAGUUGCGUGUUUCCCCCGUCAUAUGAGAGGCUUUCAACAACAGAAAAAAAACACCAAAACAAAAAGCAAAGGACCCACUCAGGCAAAGGGAAGCAGAGAUAAGAGGGAGCUUUUGUAAGGCUGGCUGUGCAGAUAGCAUGAACCAGACAACAGAUCUAAGCGACUUCCGUGACAAUGCCCAACGUUAUUAAACGCAGAGAACAGCU